UCAGUUGUUUAUUUUUAUUUUAUAUCGUAAAUUACUUUAGUUUCGUGCAUUUUUUUAUGUUUCCGAUUAAGGCCUUAUGCAACAAUCAUUUCAACUAGCAGUAGUAUGACCUUAAGAGCAUAAAACUUCACUAUUUUAAAGCCAAAAUUCCAAAAUUGUGCACUUUAUGCUAAUGGCGUUCUCCAUUAGCUUCUAUUUGAAAUCCCAA
This 208-nucleotide long non-coding RNA is filed under the name Lathyrus oleraceus (garden pea). RNAcentral's name for it is "Pisum sativum (pea) long non-coding RNA (PSAT_LNC041843)". The record is from RNAcentral. Lineage: Eukaryota; Viridiplantae; Streptophyta; Magnoliopsida; Fabales; Fabaceae.